Molecule: small nuclear RNA, 106 nt
Filed under: Olea europaea subsp. europaea
Lineage: Eukaryota; Viridiplantae; Streptophyta; Magnoliopsida; Lamiales; Oleaceae
Source: RNAcentral
AUUCAAUUUUCGGGGGACAUCCAAUAAAAUUGCAACAAUACAGGGAAGGUUAGCACGGCCGCUGCGCAAGGAUGACACGCACAAAUCUUAUAUUUUCAUGUGUAUU